RNAcentral lists this ribosomal RNA (1167 nucleotides) under Triticum aestivum (bread wheat). RNAcentral's name for it is "partial small subunit ribosomal RNA". Lineage: Eukaryota; Viridiplantae; Streptophyta; Magnoliopsida; Poales; Poaceae. The record is from RNAcentral.
AUGAUGAGCGGCGGCAGGAUGAACGCGGCGGCGAGCGACGACUUCCCCUUCGCGGCAAUGCAGCCGCCGCCCUACGUCGGCUUCGAGCACGCCGGCGGAGGAGGCCAGCGACACCAGGGCGCGAUGAUGUACGACAACUUCGACUUCGCGGCGGCCGCGGACGCCUUCGGCCAGUUCCAGGACGCGCCGCACCACCAGAUGCUGGCGCUGCCGCCCAGCGGCAACGGCGCCGGCGGGCUGGUCCCCAUGGCGCCGCCGCCCAUGCCCGGGAUGCAGCUGCAGAUGCCGCCCAUGGCUAUGCACGGGCACGGCGACGUGUACCCGGCGAUGGGGAUGGUGAAGCGCGAGGGGGACGCGGGGAGAAUCGGGCUGAACCUCGGCCGGCGGACCUACUUCUCCCCCGGCGACAUGAUGGCCGUGGACCGGGUGCUCAUGCGGUCCCGUCUCGGCGGCGUGUUCGGGCUGGGAUUCGGGCGCGGCCACCACCAGGCGCCUCGGUGCCAGGUGGAGGACUGCAGGGCGGACCUCUCCGGCGCCAAGCACUACCACCGGCGCCACAAGGUGUGCGAGUACCACGCCAAGGCCUCCCUCGUCUCCGCCGCCGGCAAGCAGCAGCGCUUCUGCCAGCAAUGCAGCAGGUUCCACGUGCUCACGGAGUUCGACGAGGCCAAGAGGAGCUGCCGGAGGCGGCUCGCAGAGCACAACCGUCGCCGGAGGAAGCCGGCGGCCGGCAGCACGGCGGCGUCGUCCAAGGAUUCGGCUCCGCCUUCCAAGAAACCCAACGCCGGCGCCAUCUCCAGUUCCUACACCGCCGACAACAACACUUUGAGCACGACGAAGUCGACCAUCUCCUCCAACACCAGCGCGAUCAGCUGCCUCCAGCAGGGCCAGGCCGGAGCGGUAGCGCCGACGAGGCCGACGACGCUCACCCUGGGCGCGUCGCCGGAGAAUGACGACCACCAGCAGCAGCUCCACCACCAUCAGGAGCAGCAGCAUUUCAUCACCUCCCUCCUGCACAACAACAUCAAUAACAGCAACAUCCUGUCGUGCUCCUCGGUGAGCUCCAGCACGAUGCCAUCGGCGGCGGCGGCCAACGGCGAGGUCUCCGACCAGAACAACGACAACGCCAACAACAACAUGCAUAUGUUUGAGGUUGACUUUAUGUAG